Molecule: ribosomal RNA, 491 nt
Filed under: uncultured bacterium
Lineage: Bacteria
Description: partial 16S ribosomal RNA
Rfam family: Bacterial small subunit ribosomal RNA
Source: RNAcentral
ACUCAAAUGAAUAGACGGGGACCCGCACAACUGGUGGAGCGUGUGGUUUAAUUCGAGACAAAGCGAAACACCUUACCAGGGCUUGACAUGCUACCGUUUUAUACUUUAGGAAACUUUAGUAGAUCCGUAAGGAUGGUAGCACAGGUGAUGCAUGGCUGUCGUCAGCUCGUGUCGUGAGAUGUUCCCUUAAGUGGGGAAACGAGCGCAACCCCCGCGAAAUGUUACAUAUUCAUUUCGGACGGUCCCGAUCAUAUCGGGAAGGAAGGAGGGGAAGACGUCAAGUCAGCACGUCCCUUAUGCCCUGGGUUACACACACCCUACAAUGGCGAAUAACAAAGAGCAGCAAGUCGGCGACGACAAGCAAAUCUCUAAAAUUUCGCCUCAGUUCAGAUUGGAGUCUGCAACCCGACUCCAUGAAGGCGGAAUCAGUAGUAAUCGCAGAUCAGCAGGCUGCGGUGAAUACGUUCUCGGGUCUUGCACACACCGCCCGU